CCUACGGGUGGCAGCAGUGGGGAAUAUUGCACAAUGGGGGAAACCCUGAUGCAGCGACGCCGCGUGAGCGAUGAAGUAUUUCGGUAUGUAAAGCUCUAUCAGCAGGGAAGAAAAUGACGGUACCUGACUAAGAAGCCCCGGCUAACUACGUGCCAGCAGCCGCGGUAAUACGUAGGGGGCAAGCGUGAUCCGGAUUUACUGGGUGUACAGGGAGCGUAGACGGCGCUGCAAGCCAGAUGUGAAAGCCCGGGGCUCACCCCCGGGACUGCAUUUGGAACUGUAUAGCUGGAGUGUCGGAGAGGCAGGCGGCAUUCCUUGUGUAGCGGUGAAAUGCGUAGAUAUUAGGCGGAACACCAGUGGCGAAGGCGGCCUGCUGGACGAUGACUGACGUUGAGGCUCGAAAGCGUGGGGAGCAAACAGGAUUAGAUACCCCUGUAGUC
This 440-nucleotide ribosomal RNA is filed under the name uncultured bacterium. RNAcentral describes it as "partial 16S ribosomal RNA". It matches the Rfam family "Bacterial small subunit ribosomal RNA", at positions 338 to 795 of the family's 1533-position model. The record is from RNAcentral.